GGGCCGUUAGCUCAGCUGGCUAGAGCACCACAUUGACAUUGUGGGGGUCGUUGGUUCAAGUCCAAUACGGCCCA
This 74-nucleotide transfer RNA is filed under the name Blastopirellula sp. Its description in RNAcentral is "tRNA-Val". It matches the Rfam family "tRNA". Rfam says of the family: Transfer RNA (tRNA) molecules are approximately 80 nucleotides in length. RNAcentral also lists the same sequence under 1 other name. The record is from RNAcentral. Lineage: Bacteria; Pseudomonadati; Planctomycetota; Planctomycetia; Pirellulales; Pirellulaceae.